CCUACGGGAGGCAGCAGUGGGGAAUAUUGCGCAAUGGGCGAAAGCCUGACGCAGCGACGCCGCGUGAGGGAUGAAGGUCUUCGGACCGUAAACCUCUGUCAGCAGGGAAGAACGGUCACUGUGCUAAUCAGCAGUGAAUUGACGGUACCUGCAAAGGAAGCACCGGCUAACUCCGUGCCAGCAGCCGCGGUAAUACGGGGGGUGCGAGCGUUAAUCGGAAUUACUGGGCGUAAAGCGCUCGUAGGCGGUAUGUCAAGUCAAGGGUGAAAUCCCCGCGCUCAACGUGGGAACUGCCUUUGAAACUGGCAGACUGGAGUGUGUGAGAGGAUAGUGGAAUUCCAGGUGUAGGAGUGAAAUCCGUAGAUAUCUGGAGGAACAUCAGUGGCGAAGGCGACUAUCUGGCACAUAACUGACGCUGAGGAGCGAAAGCGUGGGUAGCAAACAGGAUUAGAUACCCGGGUAGUC
Molecule: ribosomal RNA, 465 nt
Filed under: uncultured bacterium
Lineage: Bacteria
Description: partial 16S ribosomal RNA
Rfam family: Bacterial small subunit ribosomal RNA
Source: RNAcentral